AACCAGCUCUUCAAGUGGUCGGGAUGAUUAUUGGGCUUAAAGUGUCCGUAGCCGGUUUAGUAAGUUCCUGGUAAAAUCAGGUAGCUUAACUAUCUGUAUGCUAGGAAUACUACUAUACUAGAGGGCGGGAGAGGUCUGAGGUACUACAGGGGUAGGGGUGAAAUCUUAUAAUCCUUGUAGGACCACCAGUGGCGAAGGCGUCAGACUGGAACGUGCCUGACGGUGAGGGACGAAAGCCAGGGGAGCGAACCGGAUUAGAUACCCGGGUAGUCCUGGCCGUAAACGAUGCAUACUAGGUGAUGGCCCGGCCAUGAGCCGUGUCAGUGCCGUAGGGAAACCGUUAAGUGUGCCGCCUGGGAAGUACGGUCGCAAGGCUAAAACUUAAGGAAUUGGCGGGGGAGCACCACAAGGGGUGAAGCCUGCGGUUC
Molecule: ribosomal RNA, 428 nt
Filed under: uncultured archaeon
Lineage: Archaea
Description: bacterial SSU rRNA
Rfam family: Archaeal small subunit ribosomal RNA
Source: RNAcentral